UUGGCCAUGACCUAGAGAGAAGAUAGAGAGAGAGGGAGGCGAGCUAGAGAGAGAGAAAGGAAGGGCUGCCAUAUUUUUCUAGAGAAGAAGAAGAAGAAAAGAAAGAGAAGGAGAAGAAGAAGAGGGUUUCGAACCCGAGGUGACCAGAUUUUCUUGCUAGAGUGUUCUUGAUUCAACAAUCAAGAGAGGCUCGUUGAGAGGUUGUGAAAUUUCUUAGCUCGGACCUGAGGUAGCAAAUAUGAUUUCUUUAUGGCACGCGUGGUGACGUGAGGAGUUCUAUCAUCGUGGGGUGUAUGGCGUGGGAUAAUCCUAUGGACGGAAAAACGAUCAUCUUAGAACGCCAUUUAAAUUAUGUUUUGUUUUAAGAAACUUUCCUAAUUAUCAGUGGGACUCAGUUAUUUAAUUUUUUUUGUUUCUUUGGACUUUGCAUAAAAAAUUAUGUUUUCUUUUAAAACUAAUGGCGCCAACAUGCAUGGUUUUUAAGCAAGUCCCCACUGAGACUUUGAUAAUGAGUGGUAUUCUCUUAUAAACUAUGUUAUGCGAAUGUUUUAUAAGUAUUAGUAUAGGUCGUUCAUUACACAAGGUGAAUCACAUCUUCAGGUGAAAUAAAUAAGUAUUGAUCACUAUCCAAAAUUUCUGGGUCCAUGGCAAUACGAAAUGUGUGUGAAGGUUCAUAAAGUCGAACAGCUAGUAAAACAACUUUUACACUCUUUGGAGCAUCCUUGGGCAUCUCAAAUUGAAUUGGAGAUUUUUGCACUUCCUUUAAACUUGUGGAGGAUGUACUGGGAAUUUGUGAAGAAGAAGGUUGAUCUUUUUCUUUACAUGGCUCCAGUUGAGGUGAAAGACUAUGUUGUUUAUUCUGAAACAAAAAUUGAUUAGAAAAAAACAU
This is a long non-coding RNA of Humulus lupulus (European hop), 889 nucleotides long. RefSeq lists it as uncharacterized. Lineage: Eukaryota; Viridiplantae; Streptophyta; Magnoliopsida; Rosales; Cannabaceae. The transcript is spliced from 4 exons. The record is from RefSeq and is a predicted model, not a curated record.